RNAcentral lists this ribosomal RNA (442 nucleotides) under uncultured bacterium. RNAcentral's name for it is "bacterial SSU rRNA". It matches the Rfam family "Bacterial small subunit ribosomal RNA", at positions 354 to 796 of the family's 1533-position model. The record is from RNAcentral.
GUGGGGAAUUUUGCACAAUGGGCGGAAGCCUGAUGCAGCGACGCCGCGUGAGGGAUGACGGCUUUCGGGUUGUAAACCUCUUUUAUCCAUGACGAAGGUCGGCUUUUUGGUCGGUUGACGGUAGUGGUUGAAUAAGCGCCGGCUAACUACGUGCCAGCAGCCGCGGUAAGACGUAGGGCGCGAGCGUUGUCCGGAUUUAUUGGGCGUAAAGGGCUCGUAGGCGGCUCGUCGCGUCUGCCGUGAAAGACCAUGGCUUAACUGUGGUUUUGCGGUGGAUACGGGCGGGCUUGAGGCCAGUAGGGGAGAUCGGAAUUCUACGUGUAGCGGUGAAAUGCGCAGAUAUGUGGAGGAACACCGGUGGCGAAGGCGGAUCUCUGGGCUGGUUCUGACGCUGAGGAGCGAAAGCAUGGGGAGCGAACAGGAUUAGAAACCCCGGUAGUCC